RNAcentral lists this ribosomal RNA (450 nucleotides) under uncultured bacterium. RNAcentral describes it as "bacterial SSU rRNA". It matches the Rfam family "Bacterial small subunit ribosomal RNA", at positions 29 to 524 of the family's 1533-position model. The record is from RNAcentral.
AACGAACGCUGGCGGCGUGCCUAACACAUGCAAGUCGAGCGCCCCGCAAGGGGAGCGGCGCACGGGUGAGUAACGCGUGGGAAUAUGCCCUGGGGCUGGGGAUAACGGCGGGAAACUGCCGCUAAUACCCGGUACGCCUUGAGAGGGAAAGGAGCAAUCCGCCCUGGGAGUAGCCCGCGUUGGAUUAGCUAGUUGGUGAGGUAAGAGCUCACCAAGGCGACGAUCCAUAGCUGGUCUGAGAGGAUGAUCAGCCACACUGGGACUGAGACACGGCCCAGACUCCUACGGGAGGCAGCAGUGGGGAAUAUUGGACAAUGGGCGAAAGCCCGAUCCAGCAAUGCCGCGUGAGUGAUGAAGGCCUUAGGGUUGUAAAGCUCUUUUACCCGGGAUGAUAAUGACAGUACCGGGAGAAUAAGCUCCGGCUAACUCCGUGCCAGCAGCCGCGGUAAU